RNAcentral lists this long non-coding RNA (2205 nucleotides) under Nasonia vitripennis (jewel wasp). RNAcentral's name for it is "uncharacterized LOC116416265". The record is from RNAcentral. Lineage: Eukaryota; Metazoa; Arthropoda; Insecta; Hymenoptera; Pteromalidae.
UCUCAGAGUGUUUUAGUACACGAUGAGAGAGUGGGAGAGUAUCCCCAGUCUACCCCCGUAUGUAUUUUUUUGAAAGCCUAUAGCGUUCUUUCAAUCCCUUCCCUUGCAUGAGCGAUUUAAAGUUUUCUCACCGCCUACAAAUGCUAUUGGCUGCUUGUGGGACCACCCCUAAUUUUAAGUCCCAAUUAGCUUUCCCAGAAAAGCUAGGCAGUUUUCCUUCCAGAGAUCCGCUUUUAGCGAUUGACAAGUGGCGUAGAGACAAUGGUCACAAAAAUGCACUCAGACCGAUAGGCCUGCAGAGAGCCCGAAGAUGAACAUGAACUGAUAGGACUAGAGAACGACAAACAAUACUUAUAGUGAUUGACGAGUAACCUAGAGGCAUGCACCAAGACCGAUGGGUCUCGUGAUAGUCAUUUUUGGCAGGAGAUCCCUUAUUUUGUUGCGCUACCUGCAGAGAGCGCGGAGAUUAACACGUCGUACUGACUUUGACGAGUUUCCUAGAGGCUUGCAGGAAAUCCCCAAAAAGAUGCAGAGGCACCGAUAAGUUUUAUGAAGAUAUCCCUCCCUUUUUUUCGAUUCGCUAGCAGUGGACGAAAAUGCGUAAGUGUCGAAGAUACCUGCAGAGAUGAACGUUGUAAAGGCUUUUAGCGUUUGACGAAUGACCGAUGAGGGCCGGGUCUUAUGAUAGUCAUUUUUGGCAGGAGAUCCCUUAUUUUGUUGCGCUACCUGCAGAGAGCGCGGAGAUUAACACGUCGUACUGACUUUGACGAGUUUCCUAGAGGCCUGCAGGAAAUCCCCCAAAAAGAUGCAGAGGCACCGAUAAGUUUUAUGAAGAUACCCCUCCCUUUUUUUCCGUUUCGCUAGCAGUGGACGAAAAUGCGUGAGUGUCGCAGAUACCUGCAGAUAUGAACGUUGUAAAGGCUUUUAAGCUUUUGACGAGUGACUGAAGAGGGCCGCAGGAAUCUAGAAACUAUACCCGCUGGCAAGACCUUUCUUUUUGUUUCGCUACCCACGGUUAAAAUCAAUUAUUUUUCGGAAAAGGUCUGCAAAAGUACCCAUAGAUUAUCUCAUGAAGGCAAGUGAAAUUUUUAUUUGACGGGGAGGAGCAUGGUCAAGGGAGGUGUUUUUGAAAUUAAGGGAGGAACAUUUUUCUCCAAUUAGAGGACUUUUCAGGAAGGUAGUGGGAAAAGAAGCUCAGCAAAUCCGAGGAUUUUCGGCAAAAAAAUGAAAAGUGUGCUCCUGUUUUCGAGUAUAAAUAACCCAUCAAGAUACACCGGAGUCAGUCACAGGUUUUCUUGCAAGCUGUCAAGAAAAUGUCUUCGAAGAAAAGUUCAUCAAUGCAGCCUUCUCAGAGCCGAUGAAGUCUACAGGAUGCUCAGGAGCGUAUACGUUGGCUGAUCGCCAACGCACCGACUCUCCUGACGAUGCUAGACUACGUGUCCUGGGCCAUGGACAUAGUAGAAACAUUGCCGCAACCACCGAAUGCUGCUUUGCAACAAUUGGCGCCGCGUCGAUCACCGGCGGCUGUCCCGCCUCGUCGAUCUCCGGCGGCUGACCUGCCUCAUCGAUCUCCGGCGGCUGACCCACCGCGGCGAUCCCCGGCUGCUGACCCGCCACAGCGAUCGCCGGCAGCUGACCCGCCUCGACGAUCCCCAGUGGCUGACCCGCCGCAUCGAUUGCCGACAGCUGUCCCGCCAGCGAUCCCCAGCUGCUAACUCGUCUGGACGAUUCCCAAUGACUGAGCAGCCUCGGCGAUCACCGAAGGCUGAGCAGCCUCGGCAAUCCUCGGCGACCCGAAGAAGACGGUCUCGCUCGAGCUCGAGCUCCAGCUUGAGUUCGAGUUCAAGUUCGAGCUCUACUUCGAGCUCCAGUUCAAGCGGAACAUCAUCCAGUUGCGCAUCGCGCAAAUCCGUUAAAAGUAUACGCGAUCUCAAGCGGAUUCCUAAAAUUACAUCCUCGAAUAUGAAGAGAAAAGCAAAUGAACAAGAAGGCAACGAGCAGAAGAAGAAGAAGGCAGGAGAGAGAGAGAGACGUCACCAAAACCCGGAACAUCUACAAUGACUUCAGAGGUUACGAGACCAGUACCGAGACGUGGUAUUUUACAAUUGAAAAGGACAGACAGUCAACAGCAACAGCAACAGCAGCAAGAGCAACAACAACAGCAGCAGCAACAACAACAGCAACAGCAGAAGCAGCAACAGCAGC